This 543-nucleotide ribosomal RNA is filed under the name uncultured bacterium. Its description in RNAcentral is "partial 16S ribosomal RNA". It matches the Rfam family "Bacterial small subunit ribosomal RNA", at positions 355 to 889 of the family's 1533-position model. The record is from RNAcentral.
UGGGGAAUUUUGGACAAUGGGCGAAAGCCUGAUCCAGCAAUGCCGCGUGUGUGAAGAAGGCCUUCGGGUUGUAAAGCACUUUUGUCCGGAAAGAAAUCCUUGGCUCUAAUACAGUCGGGGGAUGACGGUACCGGAAGAAUAAGCACCGGCUAACUACGUGCCAGCAGCCGCGGUAAUACGUAGGGUGCAAGCGUUAAUCGGAAUUACUGGGCGCAAAGCGUGCGCAGGCGGUUUGCUAAGACCGAUGUGAAAUCCCCGGGCUCAACCUGGGAACUGCAUUGGUGACUGGCAGGCUAGAGUAUGGCAGAGGGGGGUAGAAUUCCACGUGUAGCAGUGAAAUGCGUAGAGAUGUGGAGGAAUACCGAUGGCGAAGGCAGCCCCCUGGGCCAAUACUGACGCUCAUGCACGAAAGCGUGGGGAGCAAAACAGGAUUAGAUACCCUGGUAGUCCACGCCCUAAAACGAUGUCAACUAGUUGUUGGGGAUUCAUUUCCUUAGUAACGUAGCUAACGCGUGAAGUUGACCGCCUGGGGAGUACGGUCGC